Brassica rapa (field mustard) is the source of this 1827-nucleotide long non-coding RNA. RefSeq lists it as uncharacterized. The record is from RefSeq and is a predicted model, not a curated record. NCBI's taxonomy places the organism in Eukaryota, Viridiplantae, Streptophyta, Magnoliopsida, Brassicales, Brassicaceae.
AACUCCAAAUCUUAAAAUUAACUUUUUUUAAAAAAAAUUAAUCUUAAGCAAUAUAUCUAUUUUCAAACUUUAACCAUAAACCCUAAACCACAUACUUCAACCUAUGUGAUAGAACACUAAACCUCAAACUUUAAAUAAAAUAUAAUUUUAUAAUAUAUAUGUAUAUAUAAUAUAUUUCUCAAAUUAUAUACAACAUAUAAAAUUUUACAUUAUACAUUUCGAAAAUAAAAAACCACUAAACAAAUAAACAACAAAAAAGAAGAAAUACUAGCAUUUAAAAUCUUUUUAUCAAAUUAGUUUUUAAAUCACAUAACCACAAAAUUCAAAUGGAAAACUUUUAGUUAAAAUUCUAUAUAAAUUUAUUUAAAUUUUGACAUUUUUAAAUAAUUAUAGAUAAAUAAAAAGUAUAAUCUUUAUUAGUUGUUUUUUGGCCUUUGAUUGAUUUUGAUCCAAAGGCUCAAAAUCACUCCUUUGUGAUCUUCCACCUUUCUUCUUAUUGGUCAGUUCCUCAAAAUUUGGAUUAAUAUUUUAAACCAUUGAUUACUUGUAAUCCAACGGAUAAGAAUUAAUCUAUCUUUUCAUUUCUCUUCCUCUAUACUCUAUCGAUCUCUUUCUUUCACAAGUCUCAGAUUCUGGGUUUCACUAGCCUCAUCUCUCACCAUCUAUCACACACACACACACACACGCUAUAGAUCUCAUCUGUUUCUUUCUUCCUUUACAGUUUCUCAUCUCUCACGAUUCUCUGUUAACAACAAAUCAACAAAAAAUCCACGGAGUGAUUUCUCUCUACAACAAAUCAACUCAGUUGCAGAGGCUGCUGACAAUUGACAGAGAUAAAAUAUGGAGGAGGACGACGGAGGACAUGGCUGAAGCGUCGAGGAUGGAUGAAUAUGGCAGAUGAGGACCUGAUCUGGCGGAGAGCUUGGCGAUGGAGGACGUGGCUGACGGCAUGGCUGAAGCGUCGAGGAUGGAGGAGGAAAGCAGAUGGCGUGGCUGACAGCUUGGUUUGAAGCGUCGAUGGUGGAGGAGUUCGUGAUGGUGGUUGACAGAUCCGGUAAAGGAGGCGGCUGUUGGAGCUCUGCGGCAAAAUAGAUGGAGGCACGAGGAGUUAGGGUUUUUAGGUUUAGCGGUAAACUGUAUAUUUUUUUUACGUUUAGUUUUUUGUUUGUUUUUAAUUAGGUUAAUUUUGUAAACCUACUUUAAUAUGUAAACCAAAUUCAAUUAUUUAGUAAAAAUAAUUUAAUAUAUUAUAUAUUUUAACUGUAUUUUGUGAUUUUUUUUCUUUUUUUUUUUAAUUUUUUUUUAUAUUUUAAUAAUAUAUAAUAGCAAAAAUAAAACGUUAUUAAAAAAUAUUUAAUUGCACGCAAAAGAACGCUAUAAUAUAUGACAAUAAGAUAACAAUACCAAAAACCGCUAUCUAAUGUGUUUGACCUAUUAUGACGGGCGAUGAUACAGCGCUUCAUAAACCGCUAUCAUAUUUUUAGAUAGCGUUUUUCGUCCGCUAACAAAAGCAUUUUUUCUUGUAGUGGUUAAGUUUGAAAAUAUUAUAUAAAUAAUGUCUUUUUUAAAGGUAAAUAUUGUUAUUUCUUACUUUAAUUAUUUUUGAUAUUUGUUCUUUCUGAAAACUGAUACCGACCAAACUUGAUAAGUCAACCAACAGUUGUACGAGUGCAAACAAACCAGCCAAAUACGACUUCUAUGAAAUCACAUCUUAUUAUAGUUAAGAUCAUGUAAAUCAAAGUAAAUUUUUGCAUUUUGUUAAUUUACCGGUUCUCUAGACAACUAAAAACAUACAACUAGAAAAAUGGAAUAAUAAUAUUCAAAGAA